RNAcentral lists this ribosomal RNA (287 nucleotides) under uncultured Porphyrobacter sp. Its description in RNAcentral is "partial 16S ribosomal RNA". It matches the Rfam family "Bacterial small subunit ribosomal RNA", at positions 1093 to 1382 of the family's 1533-position model. Lineage: Bacteria; Pseudomonadati; Pseudomonadota; Alphaproteobacteria; Sphingomonadales; Erythrobacteraceae. The record is from RNAcentral.
CGAGCGCAACCCUCGUCCUUACGUUGCCAUCAUUAAGUUGGGCACUUUAGGAAACUGCCGUGAUAAGCCGGAGGAAGGUGGGGAUGACGUCAAGUCCUCAUGGCCCUUACAGGCUGGGCUACACACGUGCUACAAUGGCAUCUACAGUGGGCAGCUAUUCCGCAAGGAUGCGCUAAUCUCCAAAAGAUGUCUCAGUUCGGAUUGUCCUCUGCAACUCGAGGGCAUGAAGGCGGAAUCGCUAGUAAUCGCGGAUCAGCAAUGCCGCGGUGAAUACGUUCCCAGGCCUU